Molecule: ribosomal RNA, 449 nt
Filed under: uncultured bacterium
Lineage: Bacteria
Description: partial 16S ribosomal RNA
Rfam family: Bacterial small subunit ribosomal RNA
Source: RNAcentral
AAUGAACGCUGGCGGCAGGCCUAACACAUGCAAGUCGAACGGAGCCUUCGGGAUUAGUGGCGGACGGGUGAGUAACGCGUGGGAACAUACCCUUUGGUACGGAAUAGCCUCGGGAAACUGGGAGUAAUACCGGAUGUGGUCGAGAGACGAAAGAUUUAUCGCCAAAGGAUUGGCCCGCGUUGGAUUAGGUAGUGGGUGGGGUAAUGGCCUACCAAGCCGACGAUCCAUAGCUGGUUUGAGAGGAUGAUCAGACACACUGGGACUGAGACACGGCCCAGACUCCUACGGGAGGCAGCAGUGGGGAAUCUUAGACAAUGGGGGAAACCCUGAUCUAGCCAUGCCGCGUGAUCGAUGAAGGCCUUAGGGCUGUAAAGAUCUUUCAGGUGGGAAGAUAAUGACUGUACCACCAGAAGAAGCCCCGGCUAACUCCGUGCCAGCCGCCGCCGUAA